GGUUGUACUGUCUCCUUUUUCUAAUCAGUGAAACUAAUCUCCCCGUGAAGAAGCGGGGAUACUACUAUAAGACGAGAAGACCCCAUGGAGCUUUAAACCCAACUACACCCCUAUUUACAACAACUACUUAACCAAUUGGACACUGUAUGCUUGGUUUUAGGUUGGGGCGACCACGGAGUAAAAAAUAACCUCCACGAUAAAUGGGCUUACCCCCUUAUCUAAGAGCCACACCUCUAAGAAUUAAAAUAUUAAUAUAAUAUGAUCCUUUCUUGAUCAACGGACCAAGUUACCCUGGGGAUAACAGCGCAAUCCAUUUCAAGAGCCCCUAUCGACAAAUGGG
Molecule: ribosomal RNA, 340 nt
Filed under: Mantidactylus sp. 48 MV-2009
Lineage: Eukaryota; Metazoa; Chordata; Amphibia; Anura; Mantellidae
Description: partial 16S ribosomal RNA
Rfam family: Bacterial large subunit ribosomal RNA
Source: RNAcentral